Long non-coding RNA from Panicum virgatum (switchgrass), 1594 nucleotides. RefSeq lists it as uncharacterized. Lineage: Eukaryota; Viridiplantae; Streptophyta; Magnoliopsida; Poales; Poaceae. The transcript has 2 exons. The record is from RefSeq and is a predicted model, not a curated record.
GGCGAGGUGUACCGAGGAGCGACGGCGGUGUAGGUGGGUGCAAGGCGCAGCGACGGCGGCAGUGCGCUGGUGCGGGGUCAGCGGUGGAGGCCGGAUCCAUUGUCACGGGCAUGAACUCCGGCGGCCGAACGCCGAAUCUGACGGUGGGCUGUCGGAUUUCGAUGGCGAGUGCCGCAUCCCGAGCGGGGAGGACGGAUCGGCGGCUGCGCACGGCGGCGGGCAGCGGGACGCGGCGAUGGGCUUGGUGGGUCCUUUGAUGGGCUCGCCGGGCUUGUCGACGGAUUUUUUCUUUGUUUUAUUUUUUUAUUAACCGAGGCAGGCAGCAAACCGCCUCGGAAAAUAGGUCAUUUAUCGUGACCUUUGAUUCGAGGCGGUUGCGAAAAACACCUCGGUUAAUCGUUUUUGCCCGCCUCGGUUAAUCAUUAUUGUAGUAGUGUUUAGUUUUACUUACUCCAUGCAUGACCUAUGCUAAAACUAUUAACUGCUACUACUUUUUUCGCUUUUUCUUUUGCAAAAAAAAUAUUGUUUUCUGCCUAGGCGUACCAAUUUACACCAACAUAGCUUGUGAUAUGGAUAUAAGAUGGCCUAAGUUUAGUUUUCUUCAGAUCUAUAAAAUAUUUAUAGGGAAAGCUUGUAUAACUAUAUGUUUGCAUACUAUUAAGAGCUCCUAUGAUAUUAAGUUAUUAAGAGCUCCUAUAUCAUUGUUCCCAAAGGAGCUAACUGCAUCUUGAGUUCAUGAGAUUCAAGAGUCCAUUCGUGGUGGAGAAGCUCAACUCUGGUGGGUUUUAUCAUGUUGCACAAUUGGUCCAUUCAAUGUAUCGAUUUGUGAUGCUUUCAAGAUCCUGAAAGAAUCAAUAUUGUUCAUAUAAUUUUGGACUCAAACUCUGCGGUAAGAUUUGUCCACUAAGUCUGUUUGAUGUGUUUAAUUGAUCAGUGAAGCAUCAACAUAUACAUGAUAACCUCUGCUAACCCUUUGUUAAUUAGAAGCACUACUCUUUUCUUAUCCAAAGUAGUUUCAAAAGUUUAAAAACAGUAGUUUCAGAAUGCAGGCUCAUUAUUUUCCAUUUUGGUGCAGGUUCACAGCAGAUUUUUCAUUGAUAUGUACUAUUGGAAUAUAACUAACCAACUGGAAUAUGGUGACAUUGGUGCACUUUAUCAUUCUCAUCACAGAUGUUAAAGUAGAUAAGUUUCCCCCGCUCAUCUUUAUGCAUUUGCAUUACAUAUGUUGCAAGAUUUAAAGUUGGAUCCGUGGAGAAUACACAUCAUACGAGCUGAUAUGAUCAAAAUUGUGCACGUGUGUGGAAUUUUGAAGAGAGAGCUCAUCAUGCCUGGAGUUUUAUUUUUAUGAAUGUGCUGAGUGUGGUAACGAACUUCCAGUGUAGGAGUUGCUAGUGUACGUGAUCUUUAUCAAGCAUAUAGUGAAGAGUAUCUCGCUAGGGUCACAAAAUUUGAUAGAGCUCAAAGUAAUGGCGAGACACAUAUGCGUAAGGUUUAUUUCAUGUAAAUCAACAUAUGGCUUUGGUAGGUCAGACAUAGGGAAUUAUAGGCUAUGGAAUAUUUUUUUGAAAUAAAAUUUUCCAGUCGUGCAAGCAGA